CUUCACUACCGGGGCCGCACUGUGAUUCUAUGAGUAGGAAGGGUAGGUCCUUCACUACCGGGGCAGCACUGUGAUUCUACGAGUAGAAAGGAUAGGUCCUUCACUACCGGGGCAGCACUGUGAUUCUACAAGUAGAAAGGAUAGGUCCUUCACUACUGGGGCAGCACUGUGAUUCUACAAGUAGAAAGGAUAGGUCCUUCACUACCGGGGCAGCACUGUGAUUCUAGGAGUAGAAAGGGUAGGUCAUUCGCUACUGGGGGCAGCACUGUGAUUCUACGAGUAGGAAGGGUAGGUCCUUCCCUACCGGGGCAGCACUGUGAUUCUAGGAGUAGAAAGGGUAGGUCCUUCCCUACCGGGGCAGCACUGUGAUUCUACGAGUAGGAAGGGUAGGUCCUUCCCUACCGGGGCAGCACUGUGAUUCUAGGAGUAGAAAGGGUAGGUCCUUCACUACCGGGGCAGCACUGUGAUUCUACGAGUAGGAAGGGUAGGUCAUUCGCUACUGGGGGCAGCAGGUACCACUUUUGGUCUAGUAAAAGAAGGAACAGACUCCCACUGUGAUUAAGUACC
Molecule: long non-coding RNA, 567 nt
Organism: Oncorhynchus keta (chum salmon)
Lineage: Eukaryota; Metazoa; Chordata; Actinopteri; Salmoniformes; Salmonidae
Exons: 5
Source: RefSeq, a predicted model, not a curated record